RNAcentral lists this ribosomal RNA (292 nucleotides) under uncultured bacterium. Its description in RNAcentral is "partial 16S ribosomal RNA". It matches the Rfam family "Bacterial small subunit ribosomal RNA", at positions 505 to 796 of the family's 1533-position model. The record is from RNAcentral.
GUGUCAGCCGCCGCGGUAAUACAGAGGUCCCGAGCGUUGUUCGGAUUCACUGGGCGUAAAGGGUGCGUAGGUGGUGAGGUGUGUCGGAUGUGAAAUCUCGGAGCUCAACUCCGAAACUGCAUUGGAAACUACCUUGCUGGAGGGUUGGAGGGGGGACUGGAAUACUUGGUGUAGCAGUGAAAUGCGUAGAUAUCAAGUGGAACACCAGUGGCGAAGGCGAGUCCCUGGACAACUCCUGACACUGAGGCACGAAAGCUAGGGGAGCAAACAGGAUUAGAAACCCUCGUAGUCC